This 400-nucleotide ribosomal RNA is filed under the name uncultured bacterium. Its description in RNAcentral is "bacterial SSU rRNA". It matches the Rfam family "Bacterial small subunit ribosomal RNA", at positions 355 to 774 of the family's 1533-position model. The record is from RNAcentral.
UUAGGAAUCUUCCACAAUGGGCGAAAGCCUGAUGGAGCGACGCCGCGUGAGGGAUGAAGGCCUUAGGGUUGUAAACCUCUAAAAGAGGGACGAUAAUGACGGUACCUCUUGAAUAGCACCGGCUAACUCCGUGCCAGCAGCCGCGGUAAUACGGAGGGUGCAAGCGUUAUCCGGAAUCACUGGGCGUAAAGGGCGCGUAGGCGGUCUGUUAAGUCCGAUGUUAAAUCCCGGGGCUCAACCCCGGAUAAGCGUUGGAUACUGGCAGGCUAGACGGUUGGAGAGGCGAGUGGAAUUACCAGUGUAGCGGUGGAAUGCGUAGAUACUGGUAGGAACACCCAUUACGAAGGCAGCUCGCUGGACAACACGUGACGCUGAGGCGCGAAAGUGUGGGGAGCAAACC